This 77-nucleotide transfer RNA is filed under the name Nitrospirota bacterium. RNAcentral's name for it is "Nitrospirae bacterium tRNA-Arg". It matches the Rfam family "tRNA". Rfam says of the family: Transfer RNA (tRNA) molecules are approximately 80 nucleotides in length. Lineage: Bacteria; Pseudomonadati; Nitrospirota. The record is from RNAcentral.
GCCCCCGUAGCUCAGUUGGAUAGAGCAAGAGUUUCCUAAACUCUGGGUCGCACGUUCAAUUCGUGUCGGGGGCACCA